AUGCCCCUACACUUCACCAAGCACUUCGUCAUGGUGCCGACGGAGUUCAAGCUCAGGAACAACACCGGCUGCUCUUGGAAGGUGACGGUCAAGCUGAUGAACGGCAUGGUGACCCUGGAUCAGGGUUGGGCCACCUACGCAGCUGUUCAUCAGAUCAAGAUCGGCUACAUGGUGACGUUCAAGCUCCUCACUCCCGACACCCUCAAGGUCAUCGUCUUCGACGAGGAUGGCAUUGAGGUCAUCAACAAGUGCGGGAAGCACGACGAAGCCUUCGCCGCAAGGAGUAGGGCCGGGCCACCUCUUUCCAGCGUACUAUUGAGUCUUCUUUGA
Molecule: ribosomal RNA, 330 nt
Filed under: Triticum aestivum (bread wheat)
Lineage: Eukaryota; Viridiplantae; Streptophyta; Magnoliopsida; Poales; Poaceae
Description: partial small subunit ribosomal RNA
Source: RNAcentral